This 253-nucleotide ribosomal RNA is filed under the name uncultured bacterium. RNAcentral describes it as "partial 16S ribosomal RNA". It matches the Rfam family "Bacterial small subunit ribosomal RNA", at positions 524 to 776 of the family's 1533-position model. The record is from RNAcentral.
UACGAAGGGAGCUAGCGUUGUUCGGAAUCACUGGGCGUAAAGCGCACGUAGGCGGAUGUGUCAGUCAGGGGUGAAAUCCCGGGGCUCAACCUCGGAACUGCCUUUGAUACAGCAAGUCUUGAGUUCGAGAGAGGUGGGUGGAAUUCCUAGUGUAGAGGUGAAAUUCGUAGAUAUUAGGAAGAACACCGGUGGCGAAGGCGGCCCACUGGCUCGACACUGACGCUGAGGUGCGAAAGCGUGGGGAGCAAACAGG